CUGUAAUUCAAGUAUUUGUUCAAGAAAGUCCAGGGUGUAUGUGCAGGAUGUGCAGGUUUGUUAUAUAGGUAAACGUGUGCCAUGGGGAUCUGCUGUACACACCAUUUCGUCACCCAGGUAUCAAGCCUAGUAUCCACCAGUCAUUUCUCCUGAUCCCCUCCCUCCUGCCACCCUCCGCCCUCCAGUAGGCCCCAGUAUGUGUUGUUCCCCUCCGUGUGUCCAUGUGUUCUCAUCAUUGAGCUCUCACUUGUAAGUGAGAACAUGUGGUAUUUGGUUUCUGUUCCUACAUUAGUUUGCUAAGGAUAAUGGCCUCCAGAUAAGGAUUGAUUGAUUGAUUGAUUGCUAUAGGCAUACUAGUUCCAUAGACAUUAAUAUAUGUGUGACUUGGAGAAGUAGAGUAAGUAGAAAAUUCAGAAUUUCAAAUAGCCACUUUAAAAUGUUUUUAAGUACUGUAUUUCUUUAAAUUUUUUAAAUAAAAUAGACAAAAGUUUGGUUGGCUACACCUUUUUAGGUGAAAUAUACUGAGAGAUGCGGACUCUUCCUCAUUGGAGAAAUGUAAGUUAUUUAGACAUUAAUAAAAGUUCUGCGUUCACCCAUAGAGUGAGAGUUCUCAAAUAUUUUGGUACUAUUUUGCACAUUUUUGCAAAGAAAGGAAGAUCAUCCUUAAUUGAAAGCUGCCAUGAUUAUUUUACAGAUGAAACAAACUGUAUUGCAGUAAAGAUACUUUUUCAACUAUAGAUUGGAAGCUGUGUCAUUCUACUGGAAGUAAAUGAAGUAGUUUGGUAAAGUUAAUAGCCCGAUAAAUGUUGAAAAUACUCACAUUUGUUAGCAAACAUCAUAUAUGAGUACUUUGUGUCAGACAUUCCUGGGUGAGGCAGAAAAUAUGUGGAGAAUUUAAAAAGUGAUUCCAAAUAAAUUUAGGUCCCUUUGCUCUUUCUAAAUAUUACAUUCCCCAAAUCCAUUUAUCCACAUUUAUCUCUAGUAACUACAAUUUGUUUAUGUAAAAAGACAUUUUAGAUUUGGCUGCUUCCCUGUGUGUCAUUUUUUACUUCAAUCACUUUGUAGAGUAUUUUUAAAUAACA
Molecule: long non-coding RNA, 1082 nt
Filed under: Homo sapiens (human)
Lineage: Eukaryota; Metazoa; Chordata; Mammalia; Primates; Hominidae
Description: HSALNT0012217
Source: RNAcentral